GAUGCUGCUCAGUGGUAGAGUACUUGCCUAGCAUGUGUGAGCCCCUGGGUUUGAUACCCAGUACCAUUA
Molecule: transfer RNA, 69 nt
Filed under: Marmota monax (woodchuck)
Lineage: Eukaryota; Metazoa; Chordata; Mammalia; Rodentia; Sciuridae
Description: tRNA.Ala
Source: RNAcentral